UGUGAAGGUCAGUUGAAGGUCAGUUGAAGGUCAGUGUGAAGGUCAGGGUGAAGGUCAGUGUGAAGGUCAGUGUGUGUGAAGGUCAGUUGAAGGUCAGAGUGAAGGUCAGUUGAGGUCAGUUGAAGGUCAGGGUGAAGGUCAGGUGAAGGUCAGUUGAGGUCAGUUGAAGG
This is a long non-coding RNA of Myripristis murdjan (pinecone soldierfish), 170 nucleotides long. RefSeq lists it as uncharacterized. The record is from RefSeq and is a predicted model, not a curated record. NCBI's taxonomy places the organism in Eukaryota, Metazoa, Chordata, Actinopteri, Holocentriformes, Holocentridae. The transcript has 3 exons.